CAGUAUCAGCUGUUAUCUGUGACAUCACCUCCUCCUUCCCUCCAUUGUUGGUGCCGGUGACUAGUACAGCAACACCUCUACCUUCCACCCGAGGCUCUAGACGCCCUCCGCGCCCCCGGGACCCUCUGCUCCCUGCCUUAAACUGUCGUAGUCUUGUACAUCUGGAUUUGUGCAGCUACCCUAGACUAUAUGAAGGGGAGUACAGUGUGUCAAAAAGCUAGCUACAUGAUGCUCAAAGUGUGUUCGGGAACUUAUACACCAGCCGAAUGAAAGUAGAAAAGUGGGACACUAGAGCUGAAACUCAGCCCCAACUCAUAAUUAGGGCCAGUGUUUAGUGAUCCCCCAGGCCGUGUGGUGGGGUAUAUCUCCCGCUAAGGUGGUUGGCUUGGUAGCCUCGCCCAGACCAUCAGGGAUCCAGCGUGACACCUUCCUUAUCAAGAGGUAGAUCAAGGCUGGGAUUAAGUAUUCUGUCAACACUUGCCUCAUACCGCUGAUCCCCACCACAAAGCACUACAAUG
This is a non-coding RNA of Procambarus clarkii (red swamp crayfish), 518 nucleotides long. The record is from RefSeq and is a predicted model, not a curated record. Lineage: Eukaryota; Metazoa; Arthropoda; Malacostraca; Decapoda; Cambaridae.